RNAcentral lists this ribosomal RNA (807 nucleotides) under Furfurilactobacillus rossiae. RNAcentral's name for it is "bacterial SSU rRNA". It matches the Rfam family "Bacterial small subunit ribosomal RNA", at positions 38 to 832 of the family's 1533-position model. Lineage: Bacteria; Bacillati; Bacillota; Bacilli; Lactobacillales; Lactobacillaceae. The record is from RNAcentral.
GACGCUUUGGUUCAUAUUGCCGGUGCUUGCGCUUCUCUGAAAGAACAAAGAAGCGAGUGGCUUCCGGGUGAGUAACACGUGGGUAACCUGCCCUGAAGUGGGGGAUAACAUUUGGAAACAGAUGCUAAUACCGCAUAACAACGAAAACCACAUGGUUUUCGCUUGAAAGAUGGUUUCGGCUAUCACUUCAUGAUGGACCCGCGGUGCAUUAGCUAGUUGGUAAGGUAACGGCUUACCAAGGCGAUGAUGCAUAGCCGAGCUGAGAGGCUGAUCGGCCACAUUGGGACUGAGACACGGCCCACACUCCUACGGGAGGCAGCAGUAGGGAAUCUUCCACAAUGGGCGCAAGCCUGAUGGAGCAACGCCGCGUGAGUGAAGAAGGGUUUCGGCUCGUAAAACUCUGUUGUUAAAGAAGAACGAAUCUGAGAGUAACUGUUCACAUUGUGACGGUAUUUAACCAGAAAGCCACGGCUAACUACAUGCCAGCAGCCGCGGUAAUACGUAGGUGGCAAGCGUUAUCCGGAUUUAUUGGGCGUAAAGGGAGUGCAGGCGGUUACUUAAGUCUGAUGUGAAAGCCUUCGGCUUAACCGGAGAAGGGCAUCGGAAACUGGGCAACUUGAGUGCACAAGAGGGUAGUGGAACUCCAUGUGUAGCGGUGGAAUGCGUAGAUAUAUGGAAGAACACCACUGGCGAAAGCGGCUACCUGGUCUGUAACUGACGCUGAGGCUCUAAAGCAUGGGUAGCAAACAGGAUUAGAUACCCUGGUAGUCCAUGCCGUAAACGAUGAAUGCUAGGUGUUAGGGGGUU